RNAcentral lists this ribosomal RNA (265 nucleotides) under uncultured bacterium. RNAcentral describes it as "partial 16S ribosomal RNA". It matches the Rfam family "Bacterial small subunit ribosomal RNA", at positions 88 to 354 of the family's 1533-position model. The record is from RNAcentral.
CCGGCGACCGACGGACGGGUGCGUAACGCGUAUGUAACCUACCUUUGACAGGGGGAUAACAUCGAGAAAUUGGUACUAAUACCCCAUAACAUCACCGGAGGCAUCUUCGGUGGUUGAAAACUCAGGUGGUCAGAGAUGGACAUGCGUUGUAUUAGCUAGUUGGUGAGGUAACGGCUCACCAAGGCGACGAUACAUAGGGGGACUGAGAGGUCAACCCCCCACAUUGGUACUGAGACACGGACCAAACUCCUACGGGAGGCAGCAG